RNAcentral lists this ribosomal RNA (495 nucleotides) under uncultured bacterium. Its description in RNAcentral is "bacterial SSU rRNA". It matches the Rfam family "Bacterial small subunit ribosomal RNA", at positions 775 to 1269 of the family's 1533-position model. The record is from RNAcentral.
AGUCAAUAGAUACCCGGGUAGUCCAUGCCGUAAACGAUGAUUGCUAGGUGUGGGGGGUCUGACCCCUUCCGUGCCGGAGUUAAACACAAAUAAGCAAUCCACCUGGGGAGUACGGCCGCAAGGUUGAAACUCAAAGGAAUUGACGGGGGCCCGCACAAGCAGUGGAGUAUGUGGUUUAAUUCGAAGCAACGCGAAGAACCUUACCAGGUCUUGACAUCCACCGAAUCCUGUAGAGAUACGGGAGUGCCCUUCGGGGAACGGUGAGACAGGUGGUGCAUGGUUGUCGUCAGCUCGUGUCGUGAGAUGUUGGGUUAAGUCCCGCAACGAGCGCAACCCUUGUGAAUAGUUGCUACGAAAGAGCACUCUAUUCAGACCGCCGUUGACAAAACGGAGGAAGGUGGGGAUGACGUCAAAUCAUCAUGCCCCUUAUGGCCUGGGCUACACACGUACUACAAUGGCCGUUAACAGAGGGAUGCAAUGCCGCGAGGUGGAGCG